UGAUGUGGUGUUGUAACAAGUGAAGACAUUUCUUAAUACAUCUUUCGUUUGUUUCUUGUUAGACUUCCAUGAUACAUGGGCCAUCUUGGAUGCUCGAGUGAAAGAUACUUUUGAUCUAAAGAAAACCAUUCAAGAGCUCCACCAAACAUUGCUGGGAAUCAUUCUGAGAGGGGGAUAUUGAGCUCGGUUAUGUACUUGUUGGGCACAAGGUUGUAAGAAAAAUAUAAAAUACAGAAAAUGAGGGACCUUGAUGUGAUCUUGAGACCCCAGAACUGCUAUUAAUUUUUCAUUGCUUUUGUAAUUAUACAUGCGUUUUGCUUAGUUAGUGAAUUUCGGCUGGAUAGGAGGUUGAAGGGUUUUUUGUUACUGAAAAAACCUGGAAAGUUUUGUAUAAGGAUUAAUGUAUAAAAUAAUUAUACCAAAAAUUGUCACUAAUUACUGUUUAAUUUAUCUU
Molecule: non-coding RNA, 454 nt
Organism: Arachis ipaensis
Lineage: Eukaryota; Viridiplantae; Streptophyta; Magnoliopsida; Fabales; Fabaceae
Source: RefSeq, a predicted model, not a curated record